Anopheles coluzzii is the source of this 2696-nucleotide long non-coding RNA. RefSeq lists it as uncharacterized. The record is from RefSeq and is a predicted model, not a curated record. Lineage: Eukaryota; Metazoa; Arthropoda; Insecta; Diptera; Culicidae. The transcript is spliced from 3 exons.
UGCGAAUGCAUUUUGUCGCUUUGUGUUCGUUUGUCGGUAUAUAACCGAACACAUGUGCUGUAGCGCUAAACGACAGUAGCUUCGCGUCGCGCUCGGUGGCAGGAAUCCAUAUCAAUUCUGUGACAACGGUGACGGCGAAGACAGCGAGGCAAUCAUUACUGGGCACUAUCUGGUAGAAAUUGUAAGCAAAUCGUGCUCUACAGUUGCUGCAUAACUAUCCUUUAUGUUCCUUUUAUAGCAACGUGUAAAGAGGCAGAUAUAUUGCCUGGCCUCAAAACAAAACCCUCAAAACAUAUUUGUAGAUAAGCUCGAAAAUAUUCAAUUUGCGCAAUGAAUGUUGACCUUUAGGGGUUAAUAUGUAGAUUACUUUUUAGCGCGUGCUGUGUAUUGUGUUCUUUUUGUUCCAUUCAAAAGAACGAACAGAAGCAUUAUGUGGUAUGCAACAGUGUUGCGCAAAAUGGUUCGGGUGAAAUGCAGUUAUGUUUGCGUUGAUGUCAGUGAUGCAAUUAUUUAAAGUGCAGUAAAUGGAGGCAGUAUUACUGACGUACUUGUGUCAUGUAACCUAGCACCUAGUAUCAACUGCGGUAACGUUCUGAAUAGUAAUUUGGAAACUAUGCUUUGGCCUAAUGCUGCUGCAGAUGGGGGACUAUUGUCUGCCCUAACAUGGAACAACUACGCAGUGCCUGGGAAAGGAAACAUCGUAAAAGAUUAUGCCUUUCGCUGUUGUGAAAACAUAUUUUCUGGAUAGCGCAUUUAAGCUUGUUCUUACACAACUUCACAACAAUAACCAGGCGGCCGCUUCACAUAAUUACGCAUCGGUCAAAAUUUACGCUGGCGUAUCGGUGUAUGUGCCCUUUUUCCUCCGUUCGUAUCCUGCGGUGUGCCACAACGGGGCCCGCAACAGAAGGGCCCGCUGUGGCACCAGGAAGUGGACGAAAUAGCGGAAGAAACGUGGUUAAAUAUGAAACACGUGUUACAUUGUGCACCCGCAGCGUGUCGCUUGGGGUUUUGGUCGUUUGGAUGUUGUUUGUUUCCAGUAUAGCACCAAACACCAGCCCAGCCUCGAUAGCUGGUGCGUCUUUCUGCGCAGCUAAGACCGAACGAACGGUAUCGUGAUUGACGGUUUGCGAAAUGCUUACUACAAACGCCGCAAUACAAAUAAGUCCCCCCCCCGAUCUGGAGGGCUGAAAACAUACAAAAAAGCGAUCCCCCUCCACCUCCUCGGAUUUUGUUCAAUGUGUGGUCCUACGAUGAAUGUGUAGCAUGGUCAGCCAAGGGAUUGUUGCACUUUUCCUAAAGUUAUGGUUUGUAGCAUUGCCUGGAGGAACGGUGGCUAGGAUUGGUGUGAUAGGAGCGAGUUUAUUUUCGCCCCCAGUUGUGCUCCCAUUGGUCAGUGGAAAAUGCGUGCGGGUGGUUUUUUUUCUCUUUUUGGGAGAGGAAAACUGCGCCAUGCGGUUUGGUUUACGACAAAAUACGCCCGUGUACAUAAACCACGCGUGUACGGCAGGCGGUAGGCGACGAGACGGGGAGCCGAGGCGCUAAAUACGCGCGUCCAUCGUCCGUUGGAUCGUUAAAUAAAUCGUACACCGCCGCCCUCUGUCCGCGUGUGCGCCGCAUUGUCCACUAGUGAGUGUAUGCCCCCUCUUCCCUCCCCCCUGCAUGGUGCAUAUUUUCAUCCUACUCGAAACCACCCAAGAACUCCCCACGCCCUGCUGCAUCUCCUGUUCGCGUUCUAGCGCAGCGAUACUACUGUUACUACCAACACUACUACUGUUGUACUGCGAUCAUAUUUGCUGGUGUGGUGUUGGAAACGAUCGAGCUUGACUGGAUGCUGCGUUGUUUUUGUUAUUCUUAAUUUUUUAUUAUACACAAUGGAUGGUUGGAUGAACGCAGAAAGCGCACCGAGGGCGAGAAGGUAGUGCGCGAUGACUUGAGAUGUUGAAGGCAGCUGGAAUAUGCAACAAAACAUGGGUUGAUUCAAGGUAACUGUAAAGAAAGGCCAACAAUAACAAGUUCAAAAAUAAAGCGACGUGGAAUGACAGAGCGUGGCUGCACAAUGUACCACUGAGCAGGAAAGGGUUUAGAUGUCCGUGUGCACUUUACACGGCCAUAUCAGCUCACCGCCACCAUCUCUGCCAGUCCCUGUCCACGUUUUGUAUACAACAGCGAAAUGCGUUGUCGAACCUCCCAGCCAGCCAGCCAGCCAGCCAGCCAGCCAACCAGUCAGCCAGCCAGUCAGCCCCCCAGGUUCGAUUCUUUGCUGCUCACGUGUACACCUUAGGAUAUGGCCAGCGUACGGUAAACCGUAAACCGCUACCACUCCACGCAGUCUAUGUGGAAUUGUAUUAAUUUAGUGAGCAGUUGUGGAGGAGGCAGGGGGAGGGGGAAACGAUGUUUCAUGGGGAGAGUAGUUGGAGCUGCGCAUGGUGUGAAAUAUUUUUAUAAAUCGUGGCUAAUAUUAGUAUACCAUUCCCACCUACGUUGCUAUUCGCCGUGCGUAUGGCUUCGGGCGGGCCCGAUGGUGAUUGCGGGGGGAAGGAAGGGAAUGAGAAAAACGAUGGGAAACAGGAGCACACAACACAGCUGAGAAAAUGGACAAAACUGUCUAGCGGAGUGGAGAUUUACUAUUUACAAUUUGCUAGCUGAUGUAGAACGAACGCACUCUAAUGCAAUGCGUGGAAAGGAAUGGAUGAGCU